AUGACCUGGGCUACACACGUGCUACAAUGGGCGGUACAAAGGGUCGCGAACCCGCGAGGGGGAGCCAAUCCCAAAAAGCCGCUCUCAGUUCGGAUUGCAGGCUGCAACUCGCCUGCAUGAAGCCGGAAUCGCUAGUAAUCGCGGAUCAGCAUGCCGCGGUCGAAUACGUUCCCGGGCCUU
RNAcentral lists this ribosomal RNA (180 nucleotides) under uncultured Anoxybacillus sp. RNAcentral's name for it is "partial 16S ribosomal RNA". It matches the Rfam family "Bacterial small subunit ribosomal RNA", at positions 1204 to 1382 of the family's 1533-position model. Lineage: Bacteria; Bacillati; Bacillota; Bacilli; Caryophanales; Anoxybacillaceae. The record is from RNAcentral.